AACCGAGAUUCCCCCAGUAGCGGCGAGCGAACGGGGAGCAGCCCAGAGCCUGAAUCAGUGUGUGUGUUAGUGGAAGCGUCUGGAAAGGCGCGCGAUACAGGGGGACAGCCCCGUACACAAAAAUGCACAUGCUGUGAGCUCGAUGAGUAGGGCGGGACACGUGGUAUCCUGUCUGAAUAUGGGGGGACCAUCCUCCAAGGCUAAAUACUCCUGACUGACCGAUAGUGAACCAGUACCGUGAGGGAAAGGCGAAAAGAACCCCGGCGAGGGGAGUGAAAAAGAACCUGAAACCGUGUACGUACAAGCAGUGGGAGCACGCUUCGGCGUGUGACUGCGUACCUUUUGUAUAAUGGGUCAGCGACUUAUAUUCUGUAGCAAGGUUAACCGAAUAGGGGAGCCGAAGGGAAACCGAGUCUUAACUGGGCGUUAAGUUGCAGGGUAUAGACCCGAAACCCGGUGAUCUAGCCAUGGGCAGGUUGAAGGUUGGGUAACACUAACUGGAGGACCGAACCGACUAAUGUUGAAAAAUUAGCGGAUGACUUGUGGCUGGGGG
RNAcentral lists this ribosomal RNA (553 nucleotides) under Escherichia coli. RNAcentral's name for it is "bacterial LSU rRNA". It matches the Rfam family "Bacterial large subunit ribosomal RNA", at positions 227 to 821 of the family's 2925-position model. The record is from RNAcentral. Lineage: Bacteria; Pseudomonadati; Pseudomonadota; Gammaproteobacteria; Enterobacterales; Enterobacteriaceae.